UUCGGGUUAGUGGCGGACGGGUGAGUAACGCGUGGGAAUCUGCCCUCAGGAGGGGGAUAACGGCUGGAAACGGCCGCUAAUACCCCAUAUGCCGAGAGAUGAAAUGAAUUUCGCCUGAGGAUGAGCCCGCGUCUGAUUAGCUUGUUGGUGAGGUAAUGGCUCACCAAGGCUUCGAUCAGUAGCUGGUCUGAGAGGAUGAUCAGCCACACUGGGACUGAGACACGGCCCAGACUCCUACGGGAGGCAGCAGUGGGGAAUUUUCCGCAAUGGGCGAAAGCCUGACGGAGCAACGCCGCGUGGGGGAUGAAGGCCUCUGGGCUGUAAACCUCUUUUCUCAAGGAAGAAGAUCUGACGGUACUUGAGGAAUAAGCCACGGCUAAUUCCGUGCCAGCAGCCGCGGUAAUACGGGAGUGGCAAGCGUUAUCCGGAAUUAUUGGGCGUAAAGCGUCCGCAGGCGGCUUUUCAAGUCUGCUGUUAAAGCGUGGAGCUUAACUCCAUCAAGGCAGUGGAAACUGAUUGGCUUGAGUGUGGUAGGGGCAGAGGGAAUUCCCGGUGUAGCGGUGAGAUGCGUAGAUAUCGGGAAGAACACCAGUGGCGAAGGCGCUCUGCUGGGCCAUAACUGACGCUCAUGGACGAAAGCCAGGGGAGCGAAAGGGAUUAGAUACCCCUGUAGUCCUGGCCGUAAACGAU
Molecule: ribosomal RNA, 690 nt
Filed under: uncultured Cyanobacterium sp.
Lineage: Bacteria; Bacillati; Cyanobacteriota; Cyanophyceae; Chroococcales; Geminocystaceae
Description: bacterial SSU rRNA
Rfam family: Bacterial small subunit ribosomal RNA
Source: RNAcentral